This 496-nucleotide ribosomal RNA is filed under the name uncultured bacterium. Its description in RNAcentral is "bacterial SSU rRNA". It matches the Rfam family "Bacterial small subunit ribosomal RNA", at positions 33 to 507 of the family's 1533-position model. The record is from RNAcentral.
ACACGCUGGCGGCGUGCCUAAUACAUGCAAGUCGAGCGGGGAUUAUGCUUGAUCGCUUCGGUGAGACGGCAUAUAUCCUAGCGGCGGACGGGUGAGUAACGCGUGGGUAAUCUACCUCGUAGUUCGGGAUAACAGGCCGAAAGGCUCGCUAAUACCGGAUGAGUUCAUGCUUAUGCAUAUAGGCAUGAAGAAAGGGCUAGCCCGCUAUGAGAUGAGCCCGCGUCCCAUUAGCUUGUUGGUGAGGUAAGGGCUCACCAAGGCUGCGAUGGGUAGCCGGCCUGAGAGGGUGGACGGCCACACUGGGACUGAGACACGGCCCAGACUCCUACGGGAGGCAGCAGUAGGGAAUUUUCCGCAAUGGACGGAAGUCUGACGGAGCGACGCCGCGUGGGGGAAGAAGGCCUUCGGGUUGUAAACCUCUGUCUUCAGGGACGAAGAGGGUGUGGGAGACACACCGAAGCCGGUACCUGAGGAGGAAGCCCCGGCUAACUACGUG